RNAcentral lists this ribosomal RNA (380 nucleotides) under uncultured eukaryote. RNAcentral describes it as "partial 18S ribosomal RNA". It matches the Rfam family "Eukaryotic small subunit ribosomal RNA", at positions 592 to 976 of the family's 1831-position model. The record is from RNAcentral.
CAAUAGCGUAUAUUAAAGUUGUUGCAGUUAAAAAGCUCGUAGUUGGAUUUGUGGCGUACGGUGUGUUCCGGGCACUUGUUGUCUGAGUAACCUGCUGUUGCCAUCCUUGGGUGGAACCUGUGUGGCAUUAGGUUGUCGUGCAGGGGAUGCCCAUCAUUUACUGUGAAAAAAUUAGAGUGUUCAAAGCAGGCUUAUGCCGUUGAAUAUAUUAGCAUGGAAUAAUGAGAUAGGACUUUUUUGCUAUUUUGUUGGUUUGCGCAAAGAGGUAAUGAUUAAUAGGGACAGAUGGGGGUAUUCGUAUUCCAUUGUCAGAGGUGAAAUUCUUGGAUUUUUGGAAGACGAACUACUGCGAAAGCAUUUACCAAGGAUGUUUUCAUUAA